UUCUUGCAUGUGAUACUAUUGUAAGUUGUAGGAACUGCUGGAUGACAUAGGAAAACCCGUCACAUCUUCAUCAGGACAUAAAGAGAAGAUGGGAGUGAGGACUUCAACCUGAUAGACCCUAGCUUUCUCUCUUCAGACCCUUUUCAUCAAUCACACAGCACUUGAUGAAAAUUUCCAUCCACCAAAAGUCAAUGUGACUUCAGUGGCAACUCCCUGGAUAGUCACUACAUGCAAGGAUAUGGCACCAAUCCCUGGAUGAUCUGUCUGAGAACCGCUGCCUUGGAUCAGCACUGGAACUAGUUACUUGAUGCCAAGAACUAUACUUAGCAAUUAGUGACAUUAAGCUGUUUAGACAUAAGGAUAAAGACAUGGUGCAUUGUUUAUAGUUGAGAAAUGAUUGUUUUUCUGUCAAUGUCCUAUUUCAUAAGAAUGCUAUCAUAAUAAAAGGUUUUGCAAUCAAA
This is a long non-coding RNA of Peromyscus leucopus (white-footed mouse), 461 nucleotides long. RefSeq lists it as uncharacterized. The record is from RefSeq and is a predicted model, not a curated record. NCBI's taxonomy places the organism in Eukaryota, Metazoa, Chordata, Mammalia, Rodentia, Cricetidae. The transcript is spliced from 2 exons.